This is a long non-coding RNA of Bos taurus (domestic cattle), 517 nucleotides long. NCBI's taxonomy places the organism in Eukaryota, Metazoa, Chordata, Mammalia, Artiodactyla, Bovidae. The record is from Ensembl.
ACUCAGGAAAGACCAAAUAAAAGCGAAUUUGUCAUUUAAAGGAACAAUUGGGCAUGAUAGCUCAGAAGAUUUCAAGGAUCUGGGGAGAAAGUCUGUCAAGAAUGGAGUGAACCCGGCUCGGGGCGGCUCGGCUGGCCGACGGCGCCCCACACCCCCAACCCCCCUACUAGUCUACACCGACCCCCGAGGCUCAGCUCGCGGGUGCGGACAGAGAAAUCGUGGGCGGAGUCGAGAGGGGGCGAGUGAGCAGAACUCUGACGAGGCCGCCUCCGCCCGCCCACGCACCCACCCACCCGGCGGCCCCCUGAGAGUCGAGCGUCCCCGGCCCCCGCCCGGCCCAGCUUCGGGCUCCCGAGCGCAGGUCGAGGCGAAGCGGGCGGCUCGUUCCACUCGGGCUUCCCGAGUACUCGGCUGGGCUCCUCAGUAGUAAACAAAGUGUCGUCGCCGCCUCCACGUUGGUUUGCCUCCUAGCAAUCAAAACACUGAGAGGGCGAAAGGCUCACAGAAACACUCGAGA